RNAcentral lists this ribosomal RNA (468 nucleotides) under uncultured bacterium. RNAcentral describes it as "partial 16S ribosomal RNA". It matches the Rfam family "Bacterial small subunit ribosomal RNA", at positions 28 to 507 of the family's 1533-position model. The record is from RNAcentral.
GACGAACGCUGGCGGCGUGCUUAACACAUGCAAGUCGAACGGAAAGGCCCUGCUUUUGUGGGGUUCUCGUUUGGCGAACGGGUGAGUAACACGCGAGUAACCUGCCCUUGUCUUUGGGAUAUCUUCAGGAAACUGGGGCUCAUACCGGAUAUGAGCUCCUGCUGCAUGGUGGGGGUUGGAAAGUGUCGGCGGUUGUGGAUGGUCUCGCUGCUUAUGAGCUUGUUAGUCGGGUAGUUGCUUACCAAGCGUUUGACGGGUAGCCGGCCUGGGAGGGUUAACAGCGACAUUGGUACUGAGAGACGGCGCAGAAGGGAACGGGAGGCAGCAGGCGGGAAUAUUACGCAAUGAGCGGAAGCCAGAGACAGCAACGUCGCGUGCGGGAUGACCGCCUACGGGUUGUAAACAGAUUUCGCAUGUGACGAAGCGUGAGUGACGGUAAUGAGUAAAGAAGCACCGGCUAACUACGUG